RNAcentral lists this ribosomal RNA (508 nucleotides) under uncultured bacterium. RNAcentral describes it as "partial 16S ribosomal RNA". It matches the Rfam family "Bacterial small subunit ribosomal RNA", at positions 29 to 523 of the family's 1533-position model. The record is from RNAcentral.
AUUGAACGCUGGCGGCAGGCCUAACACAUGCAAGUCGAGCGGCAGCGGGAAAGUAGCUUGCUACUUUUGCCGGCGAGCGGCGGACGGGUGAGUAAUGCCUGGGGCGCUGCCCAGUCGAGGGGGAUAACUACUGGAAACGGUAGCUAAUACCGCAUACGCCCUACGGGGGAAAGCAGGGGACCUUCGGGCCUUGCGCGAUUGGAUGACCCCAGGUGGGCUUAGCUAGUUGGUGAGGUAAUGGCUCACCAAGGGGACGAUCCCUAGCUGGUCUGAGAGGAUGAUCAGCCACACUGGAACUGAGACACGGUCCAGACUCCUACGGGAGGCAGCAGUGGGGAAUAUUGCACAAUGGGGGAAACCCUGAUGCAGCCAUGCCGCGUGUGUGAAGAAGGCCUUCGGGUUGUAAAGCACUUUCAGCGAGGAGGAAAGGUUGGUAGCUAAUAACUGCCAGCUGUGACGUUACUCGCAGAAGAAGCACCGGCUAACUCCGUGCCAGCAGCCGCGGUAA